Stegastes partitus (bicolor damselfish) is the source of this 231-nucleotide non-coding RNA. Lineage: Eukaryota; Metazoa; Chordata; Actinopteri; Pomacentridae. The record is from the annotation of a RefSeq genome assembly.
AUGGCUUUGGAAGGAGACACUGUGACUCUCUCCUGCAACUAUUCAGGCUCUGUCAGAAGCCUCUACUGGUACCAACAGAAGUCCAGUUCAUCUCCACAAUUUCUCAUUGCAGAACAUUCAGAGAAAAUGAAAAGACUGUCUUUCAAACAUGACAAACAAUCAAAGAAGUUUCAUCUGCAGAUCUCCUCUGCUGCAGUGACAGACUCUGCUGUGUACUACUGUGCUCUGGAG